UACGUAGGGGGCAAGCGUUGUCCGGAUUCAUUGGGCGUAAAGAGCUCGUAGGCGGUUCAGCAAGUCGGGUGUGAAACCUCCAGGCUCAACCUGGAGACGCCACCCGAUACUGCUGUGACUUGAGUCCGGUAGGGGACCACGGAAUUCCUGGUGUAGCGGUGAAAUGCGCAGAUAUCAGGAGGAACACCGGUGGCGAAGGCGGGUCUCUGGGCCGAUACUGACGCUGAGGAGCGAAAGCGUGGGGAGCGAACAGG
Molecule: ribosomal RNA, 254 nt
Filed under: uncultured bacterium
Lineage: Bacteria
Description: partial 16S ribosomal RNA
Rfam family: Bacterial small subunit ribosomal RNA
Source: RNAcentral